GACGAACGCUGGCGGCGUGCUUAACACAUGCAAGUCGAACGAUGAAGCCUAGCUUGCUAGGUGGAUUAGUGGCGAACGGGUGAGUAAUACGUGAGUAACCUACCUUUAACUCUGGGAUAAGCCCGGGAAACUGGGUCUAAUACCGGAUACGACCAAUCUCCGCAUGGGGUGUUGGUGGAAAGCGUUAUGUAGUGGUUAUAGAUGGGCUCACGGCCUAUCAGCUUGUUGGUGAGGUAACGGCUCACCAAGGCGACGACGGGUAGCCGGCCUGAGAGGGUGACCGGCCACACUGGGACUGAGACACGGCCCAGACUCCUACGGGAGGCAGCAGUGGGGAAUAUUGCACAAUGGGCGCAAGCCUGAUGCAGCGACGCCGCGUGAGGGAUGACGGCCUUCGGGUUGUAAACCUCUGUUAGCAGGGAAGAAGAGAGAUUGACGGUACCUGCAGAGAAAGCGCCGGCUAACUACGUGCCAGCAGCCGCGGUAAUACGUAGGGCGCGAGCGUUGUCCGGAAUUAUUGGGCGUAAAGAGCCUGUAGGCGGUUUGUCGCGUCUGCUGUGAAAGGCCGGGGCUUAACUCCGUGUAUUGCAGUGGGUACGGGCAGACUAGAGUGCAGUAGGGGAGACUGGAAUUCCUGGUGUAGCGGUGGAAUGCGCAGAUAUCAGAGGAACACCGAUGGCGAAGGGCAGGUCUCUGGGGCUGUAACUGACGCUGAGAAGCGAAAGCAUGGGGAGCGAACAAG
Molecule: ribosomal RNA, 742 nt
Filed under: Rothia mucilaginosa
Lineage: Bacteria; Bacillati; Actinomycetota; Actinomycetes; Micrococcales; Micrococcaceae
Description: bacterial SSU rRNA
Rfam family: Bacterial small subunit ribosomal RNA
Source: RNAcentral